CUACAAGCUGAUAACUUCAUAUCACUGUGUUGCUCAUCACUCCCACCUCUUACUAAGCAUAUCUUUGGCUCAUCUAUUAUCACUUCUCCAUUAGCCUGUAUUUCUUCCUCCUCCCUCGAAAUCCGGUUCAGGUCAAAAAUAGGACCAUUGUUUCUAACAGAAACUUCCUUUCCGCUGUAAAUCCUUUCCUUUAUAUUCAAGUCUGGAAUUGUAGCUGAAUUACGUAAUACAGAUUCCUUCCCAAUAUACGUCCUCUGCUUCUUGCUCAAGUCAAAAAUUGGACCAAGGGUUUGCAAAGCAGCUUCUCUUUCACUGUAAAACUUUCCCUUUCUGUUUAAAUCAAAUCGUGAAGCCAGGGGCUGCACAGCAGCAUCAUUC
RNAcentral lists this unclassified non-coding RNA (378 nucleotides) under Hevea brasiliensis (rubber tree). The record is from RNAcentral. Lineage: Eukaryota; Viridiplantae; Streptophyta; Magnoliopsida; Malpighiales; Euphorbiaceae.